RNAcentral lists this ribosomal RNA (490 nucleotides) under uncultured bacterium. RNAcentral's name for it is "partial 16S ribosomal RNA". It matches the Rfam family "Bacterial small subunit ribosomal RNA", at positions 29 to 507 of the family's 1533-position model. The record is from RNAcentral.
AGUGAACGCUGGCGGUAGGCCUAACACAUGCAAGUCGAACGGCAGCACAGGAGAGCUUGCUCUCUGGGUGGCGAGUGGCGGACGGGUGAGGAAUACAUCGGAAUCUGCCCAGUCGUGGGGGAUAACGUAGGGAAACUUACGCUAAUACCGCAUACGACCUUCGGGUGAAAGAGGGGGAUCGCAAGACCUCUCGCGAUUGGAUGAGCCGAUGUCGGAUUAGCUAGUUGGCGGGGUAAUGGCCCACCAAGGCGACGAUCCGUAGCUGGUCUGAGAGGAUGAUCAGCCACACUGGAACUGAGACACGGUCCAGACUCCUACGGGAGGCAGCAGUGGGGAAUAUUGGACAAUGGGCGCAAGCCUGAUCCAGCCAUACCGCGUGGGUGAAGAAGGCCUUCGGGUUGUAAAGCCCUUUUGUUGGGAAAGAAAUCUUUCAGGCUAAUACCCUGGGAGGAUGACGGUACCCAAAGAAUAAGCACCGGCUAACCUCGUG